UUGUGUGUGCGUACGUAUGUGUGUGUGCUUACGUGCGUAGGUAACAGUGUUAUUCUGUGUGUUUAGGCGUAAGCCAAAGAAAGACGGGAUACCGACAUUGUUUUCGAGCCCAGAGGAAGAAGAAAUAUCAACCAAACGGAGCCACAUCACCCCUGAACGUUAUAGAAACGAUGAGGAAGAUGUGUUUGAUGCUGACGACGAAGAGGAAAUUCGGCCAAAAAAGAAGUGCAGAAAAGAGAAAUCACAGAUCCUCAUCCAGGCACCCCCACUGCCAGUGCUCCCACCAUUGAACUUUCCAAUCUCCAGCAAGUACCAGACCACUUCAGCCAGUACCAGCCAAUACUACACCACUCCAAGGCAUCCAGGCCGACCUCACAGCCCAGCGAGAAGCAGCACUUACAGGCUCAGUCCAGACAGGAAUCAUGCAUCUAGCUCAAGCCAGUACCAAACCACUCCAGCCAGUAUGAGUCAGUACCAGACCACUCCAAGAAGCAGCAGGAAUGCCCUUGAAAGUGAACUUUUCCAGUUAAACAUGAAAGUUCAAAAACUAGUUGAGAACCAGGGAGAAAUUAUGCGCAUGCUGAGAGGGCUGGCAGCACAGUCUGUGGGGCCAGAAGCUGUGGAUGUUCAAGAUCUCAUUGAGAAGCCUUUCGAGACUCUUG
This is a non-coding RNA of Nerophis lumbriciformis (worm pipefish), 662 nucleotides long. The record is from RefSeq and is a predicted model, not a curated record. Lineage: Eukaryota; Metazoa; Chordata; Actinopteri; Syngnathiformes; Syngnathidae.